CAGUAUGGAAACUCCUCAGGGAAGCCAGUGAACUGCGUGGAGAUACAAGACUUUCUUUUCGGCCGGGCAUGCAGCCAGAACAGCUAAAAAAUGUGGAUUGGCACAGAGCUCUUGCCACGCAAACACUUCUGGAAAUUUCUCUGUUCAGGCCUGCCAAAUCCUUCCUAUGUAACAUGAGUUUCUGUCUUCCUCAGCAGCCCGUCUGAAGCCUGAGCUCUCCUGUACACUUUAAAAAGGAAAAAUGAAAAAAAAGCUCCAAGGCAACCUUUCAGUCCUGUUUCCAGCAUGCCACUGCCAAGCUAACAAUUUCACCGAAUUAGGGGGAAUUUCCUAAAACAUUUCUUUGAGCUACAUUGAGUGCAACAUGUGGGAGACAACUGUGUUUCCUGGAGAAGAAAGGAGAGCUGUCUCACUCGUGGAGACUGCCUAAUGUCUAGCAGGAGAAAAACAACCAGCCAUGACAAGAAAAUGUUUUUUAAAACUUGGCGCGAGAAGCAGGUUUUAUUUAUUUUGAAUGCCUUUUCCAGUCUGGUCAAUGUAGUGUAUGAAGAGAGGGUUGGUGGAGGGAAGCUGGUGUUUUUGUUAGGGCCCAGGGCUUGGAGUCAGGAGGUCUGGGCUCUAUUUCUGGCUCCGCUGUAGCCUUCCUGUGGGACUUGGGUGAAGCUCUUGGAGGAGUGACUACAGAAAAAAAAAGAAAAAAUAAUUGGAGCAGUAGAGGGAGCAGAAAAGAAAGACAUUUUUAAGUAAUGUUAAGUAGCAAGUCAAGCAGUAUGGAUGCUGAGACUGCAGACAACCUACCCCUUUCUGAAAGCUGAAGCACCUUCCACAAGCAGGAAAAGGCUGUUCAGCUGAAUUCCUACAAAUGAGGGCAUAUCCAACUUGGUGAGAACAAAGACAUUAAAGGUACAUCGGGUAUUGAAAAAAACUUUUGGGGAAAGGAAGAAAGAAACUACCUUGCCACACCCAGGAGAAGAGCAUAUGCAAAUGGUUGUGAGCAGUGCUGGGAUCAGAUGUGAGAUGGAGGAGUGUCUGUGCUGUCAGCAGGAUGCCUCCAAAGGACUCUGAGGGAUCAGUGCAAUGGCUGCUGCGUUCUGGGGAUGGACACAGAGAUCGUGUGGCAGCAGCAGUGACGCACCAUGAUCCCACCUUCAUCUGUCAGCUGGAAAGAGUCAGGGAACAGACCUAGAGCUGAAUUAAACCAUCCUGGUGUGGGGACUGUUUACAGUAUCCUGUAUGACACAUCUGUUGAUCUCCCAAGAGCCGAGACCAGCCUCAGCAAUUUAGAGCAUACCGAAGCCUCCUGCUCCCAGAUGCACUCACUCCAUCCACAGUCUGUUGGGAUUUGCAGCCUAUCUGACUACUUUUCUCCCACAGCUUUCACAUAUGUGCAAGUCAUUGAUAUAGCUCCUGAACAGAGAUGCAAUAUGGACAACUGGUAUCAUCAGAGAAUACACCAUUUACUCAUGUGAAAAAACAGGCACCUAAUUAUCUCACUUUUAAUAAAGAGGCACAUACAUAGCAUAUUGCUAGUGAGCAGUUCUACACCUUUAAAAGAGACACGUUCCUCUUGCUAACCUUCAGCUUAAUAUUAGUAUCUCCAGCACAACAGGGAGAUAGCUCCAAACAAACUUUUUUUUUCCUACUGGAAAAGCCAGAGAGCAGGGGGAAAUUACUACAUUUUCAGGAGUACUGGAUCUACUAAAACAGGUUGAGGGUAAUCACAAUACCCAGAUUGCAGGGAAUGGACAUUUUCUUUGGGAAUUGUCCAGCUCUCCUCUGGAUCUGCAGUCUGUGCAGAGGAAGCCAGAAAUACUCUGUUGUAGCCAAAUAUGACAGGAGCUAGCCAACAUCUGGUGGUCUGUUGUGCCACGUUUAGGGCAACCAGCAAUGAAAAGUGGAAGCACACAGCUCUUUCCACCAUCCAUGGGGAGAACAGAGAUUUGCUUCCCAGCCCCAAAUUUGGCUAUUUGGGCUGCUACUCUGACAUCUAGUCAAGUGGGUGAGUUUAAAACAAUGAAGUACUUUAACAGGCAGAAUACACUAUGUGGAGGGAACACAUCUGUUUCCUUGCAAUCCAGCCCCAAAUGGACUCCCUUCUGUUACCACCACAGCAUUGCCACCAAAUGGCAAAGUCAAAUUAGCACUUAAAAUGCCUGAAAUUUUAUUAAUGCCAAAGAACAUGAAGAAAACACAUAGCAUCUCUCUUCUUGAAUGGAGAAACAAUCUCACAGAAAAACCAGCUCAAUCUGCUUCCAUCGUCUGGUACCGUGAGCUGUGGCAUCACUAACGUGACUACCUGCAAUGAAAGCAAUCACGUAUAGAAGAAACACCUGAAAGCCAAAGCCUCCCAUGACUGAUGAAAUAAAGACUUCACAGAACUACCUGCAGGACGAGGUAUUUUUAUCAGAUUAUUUCUGCUGGACAUACCAGGUUCUGGGAUGCAAAUGAUUUUAUUGAACACGUAAGCUCUUGUUUCAUGUGAUAUAGCAUUUUAAAAUGUGCAUUUCCCUGAAAUGCACAGAAGACACGGAGAUAACAGUGAAUUAUGCACUCUGCAGACCUGACUGAGAGGGCACUGAUCAAAGCAAAAGAGCAGUGACUGUGGGGACAGACGUGAUACCCCAGAAAUACAUUGCUGAAGAGCUCGAGCAGAAUACAGUCAUCUGUGCUCACAAGUGAACAAUACACCAACUCCAACAUGAAGGCUGCUUCCAGGCAUACACACAAGGCAGUACAGUACCCUGGCAUGAAAGAACAGCCUCUGCUGACACAGGAAAAUAGCCUUGCUUCCAAAAGAAGUGAAGAGAAAAAAAAAACCAAAACAAACACAACCCCCCAGCCCAGUACAUUAGCUACAAAAUGAGACAUAUUAAGAAUGUACAUGUAAAGGUUCUCACAGGUUAUGCUGUUCAUGUUUAACGCUGUGGUCUCAAAUGUGACUAAAGCUACAGAACUGAAGUGCCCAUUUGGGACUUGGAUAUUCGGGCAGAGGAUAAUGUCACCUUAGCCAGCAGUGAAUGAGAAGCACAGGAGGCACAGAGGGAGGGAUAAACCUGCAGCAAGGAAAGCUGAGCUGCAGGUAGCAGGCAUCUGCAGUCUGGGUGGAAGGCAGAGGGGAGGUAGGGAGCAGCAGAGUCCCUGUCCCUAGGGGAGCACAACCCUGGGCAGUCAGGCUUCUGUGCCUGCCGUGGAGCACAGGAGAGGAGUGACAUUUCUGGUGGCCCUGGCAGUGCACCUUACACACACAUCAUUUUAGGGGACUGUACUGAGGGCAGGAAAAAGCAACUACUGUUCAUUCUGAAGACCCUAAAAGACAGUGUGCCUACAGCAACCUUUUCAGGCUUGAGCACUUGAGCACCUGGCCACCAAGUCUGCAAAAGGCAUCCAAAAAAAUAAGCCCACUUAGCAUCACUCAGCACUAGAUAAAUGCCCUCUCCCCUGUGCCCCCCAAAACGCAAUAGGAUGCCCACUGAUCAAAAAAGGGUCUAAACAGUUUUAUUUUCUACCUGCUGUAAUAAAUUAGGCCUGGCUGUUUGAAAACUA
Molecule: long non-coding RNA, 3543 nt
Organism: Haemorhous mexicanus (house finch)
Lineage: Eukaryota; Metazoa; Chordata; Aves; Passeriformes; Fringillidae
Exons: 2
Source: RefSeq, a predicted model, not a curated record